GAUGAAGAACGCAGAGAAAUGCGAUACGUAAUGUGAAUUGCAGAAUUCAGUGAAUCAUCGAAUCUUUGAACGCACAUUGCGCCCGCCAGCACUCUGGCGGGCAUGCCUGUUCGAGCGUCAUUUCAACCAUCAAGCCCCAGGCUUGCGUUGGAGCCCUGCGGCUGCCGCAGCCUCCUAAAAGCAGUGGCGGGCUCGCUAUCACACCGAGUGCAGUAGAUUACUCUUCGCUCAGGGCGUGCAGCGGGUUCCGGCCGUGAAACCCCCUACUUUUAAAGGUUGACCUCGGAUCAGGUAGGAAUACCCGCUGAACUUAAGCAUAUCAAUAAGCGGAGGA
This 334-nucleotide unclassified non-coding RNA is filed under the name soil metagenome. RNAcentral describes it as "partial contains 5.8S ribosomal RNA, internal transcribed spacer 2, and large subunit ribosomal RNA". The stretch from base 1 to 120 matches the Rfam family "5.8S ribosomal RNA", at positions 35 to 154 of the family's 154-position model. The record is from RNAcentral.